GUCGACGGUAGGUCUCUUCGGAGAUACACGAGUGGCGAACGGGUGCGUAACGCGUAUACAACUUACCCAAUAGAGGGGGAUAAUCUGGAGAAAUCGAGUUUAAUACCCCAUGGAUUCUUAAAUAGGCAUCUAUUAAAGAAUAAAGCUCCGGCGCUAUUGGAUGGGUAUGCGUGACAUUGGUUAGAUGGUGAGGUAAAGGCUCACCAUGACGAUGAUGUCUAGCUGGUCUGAGAGGAUGAUCAGCCACACGGGCACUGAGACACGGGCCCGACUCCUACGGGAGGCAGCAGUAAGGAAUAUUGGUCAAUGGGGGCAACCCUGAACCAGCCAUGCCGCGUGAAGGAAGACGGUUCUCUGAAUUGUAAACUUCUUUUGCUAGGGACUAACCAUGAGCUAUACGCUCAUCUGCAGGUACCUAGAGAAUAAGCACCGGCUAACUACGUGCCAGCAGCCGCGGUAAUACGUAGGGUGCAAGCGUUGUCCGGAUUUAUUGGGUUUAAAGGGUGCGCAGGCGGCUUGUUAAGUUAGUGGUGAAAUCGUCCCGCUCAACGGGAUACCCGCCAUUGAUACUGGCAAGCUUGAGUGUGACAGAGGAAUUUGGAAUGCGUGGUGUAGCGGUGAAAUGCAUAGAUAUCACGCAGAACACCUAUUGCGAAGGCAGAAUUCUAUGUCAUAACUGACGCUGAGGCACGAAAGCGUGGGUAGCGAACAGGAUUAGAUACCCUGGUAGUCCACG
RNAcentral lists this ribosomal RNA (736 nucleotides) under uncultured bacterium. Its description in RNAcentral is "bacterial SSU rRNA". It matches the Rfam family "Bacterial small subunit ribosomal RNA", at positions 61 to 799 of the family's 1533-position model. The record is from RNAcentral.